RNAcentral lists this ribosomal RNA (334 nucleotides) under uncultured bacterium. RNAcentral's name for it is "bacterial SSU rRNA". It matches the Rfam family "Bacterial small subunit ribosomal RNA", at positions 28 to 334 of the family's 1533-position model. The record is from RNAcentral.
GAUGAACGCUGGCGGCGUGCUUAACACAUGCAAGUCGAACGGAGAUGUUGCAGCAGAAGCGAAUAGCUUGCUAUGAGUGGAAACGGUGGCAUCUUAGUGGCGGACGGGUGAGUAACGCGUGGGCAACCUGCCCUGCACUGGGGGAUAACACUUAGAAAUAGGUGCUAAUACCGCAUAAUAAAAUAUAUUGCAUGAUAUAUUUUUGAAAGCUGCGGCGGUGCAGGAUGGGCCCGCGUCUGAUUAGCCAGUUGGCGGGGUAACGGCCCACCAAAGCGACGAUCAGUAGCCGGCCUGAGAGGGUGAACGGCCACAUUGGGACUGAGACACGGCCCAA